CUGUAUCCACAGAAUCUAGAACAGUGCCUAGCACGUAGCAGAGAUGCAGUCAAUAUUGAUGACUUAAUGGAGAUCAGUACUGUUGUUAUUCUUUAGGUUGGCACUCUGUGAUAGCAACACAAGACUUAGUUCACCAUCACUGAAUUCGUGCAUUAAGAGCUAGCAUGAUAGUAGUGUACCAUCAGACCCACCUGCAGGAUUGAAGCUCCUGGGCACUCAGUCCACCAGCUGCUGGGACCAUUGCCUCUUUGAGCACUGCCCUGGGCUGAUGAGAGUUGCCUUGUCUGAAGUCACGGCUUUUUCCUAAAAGCAGUUCACAUCCAGUAACUUGUAGAUGCUCUUUGUAAAGCGCUGACUUACUUGUUCCAAUUCAGGACAAGGCUCAAGGGCAAUCCCAGAUCCCUGAGAUGUUGGCUGAAACCUCCCUUACUCCUGCAUCCCAGCCCGACUUCUUCCUCUGCCCAGUCCUGCUUCCUUUACUCUCAUACAUGGGUUGAUCCUGAGAGCUUUCUGUUACAAAGUUUCUGCUUCUAAAUUUCCAUCCCAGACUCUGCUCCCCGUGAUCUUUGAUAGUGACUUUUUAUUACUGUUUGUGGAAACUUAGAUUCCUCGCGUGUGCAAAUGCCUAACCCUCACAUCACAGAGAAGUCACACCAUAUACCUUCUCAAGGCAAGGGCUUCUUUCCAAAGUAAUACACAAGCUACUCCACCACUUCCCCGAGAUUAGCUUCUUUUGUUCAUCCAUUGAACAGUGACGGCUGUGUGCCCCGCGCCAGGCUAGACUUGCAAAUGGAGAAGUUAGUUCUUUCUCAAGGUUCUCCACCAAGAUCUGCAUGUUUCCAUUUCCUUCAUGGGAUUGGAAACUGUCAUUUUAUUGGCUGCGAUCUAAGUUACAAUGUGUAUUUUCGUAAGAGCAAUUGUGUCUUCCAUACUGCUUCCUGUAUAACCUUCUUAAGAUCACCUCAGGAGUGUGAUUUUGCUUAAAUAUGCCCAUAUAGCAUUAAAUCUAAACAUACGCUGGGGAGUCCUUGGUGUGGCACAUGGGUUAAGGAUCCAGUGUGGCCACAGUUGUGGUAUAGGUUGUACCUUCAGCUCAGAUUCUAUCUCUGGCCCAGGAAUUUCUAUAUGCUGCAGAUGUGGCUAAAAAUUAUAUACAAAUUAAAUAAAUCAGAAAAUAAAAGUAAGUUGGGUUAUUCUGGGCAUCUUCUUCUCUGUUUGUCUGAUGUAUCCUGGGGAUUUGUCUAAGCUCAUUCAUUCAGGUCUUCUUCAUUCUUUGUGAGAAAGGCUGCUUAGUUUUUAUUCUUAUUUAUAACUUACAAAGAAGAAUAAUAAAUAGUCCUUUAUUUUGUGAUUAAUAAUCAUUUGAUAUUCAACAAAUAUUUAUCAAGUGGUUCUAAAGCCAGCAGGCUUUUGAACUCUGAACAAGACCAGUGAUGUCUGUAGCUUCAAGAAAACAGGGUUCUAGCGGGCGAAUCAGAAGAUAAGAAUGUGAAGAGAAGAAAAAGAUCUUUUCAGAGAGGAGGAAAUGUGAAGAAAUGGAAUAGGAUGGUGCCUAGUGAAGACAAGAGGCUGAAAAAGCUCCCUAAACUGGCCAUUCGGAGAAGGUCUCUCUCAGGAGAUGACGUUAAGGCGGAGUCUAGAGAGAUGCAAGGAGACAAAAACAGGAGUCGAGGACGUAGGCAUCCGAAGAGAAAGCAGAGCCCGUGCCAGUGAUCUGAGACAGGAGCAGCUUCUUCAAGGCCCACACCAAAGUCAGUGUGCUUGAACUCAGGGAGUGUAAAGUGUUUACUGAGGAGGCUGUGUCUGAAAUACAGUGUAGCCUCUGACAAAAACAUCUCAUGGAAUGUCCCAUCUCUGAGCAUCACACUUGAAAUUAUUUAAUCUAACAUAUGUAUUAAGCAUUUUCUGUGCAUCGAAGAGACAAGAGUCAGCAAAGUGGACAUACCCUCUGCUCUCACUGAGCUUGUGGCCGGUAGAAGAGA
Molecule: long non-coding RNA, 1982 nt
Filed under: Sus scrofa (pig)
Lineage: Eukaryota; Metazoa; Chordata; Mammalia; Artiodactyla; Suidae
Description: lncRNA (ENSSSCG00015058284.1)
Source: RNAcentral